This 486-nucleotide ribosomal RNA is filed under the name uncultured bacterium. RNAcentral's name for it is "partial 16S ribosomal RNA". It matches the Rfam family "Bacterial small subunit ribosomal RNA", at positions 30 to 507 of the family's 1533-position model. The record is from RNAcentral.
AUUGAACGCUGGCGGCAUGCCUUACACAUGCAAGUCGAACGGCAGCACGGGUGCUCGCACCUGGUGGCGAGUGGCGAACGGGUGAGUAAUACAUCGGAACAUGUCCUGUAGUGGGGGAUAGCCCGGCGAAAGCCGGAUUAAUACCGCAUACGAUCUACGGAUGAAAGCGGGGGACCUUCGGGCCUCGCGCUAUAGGGUUGGCCGAUGGCUGAUUAGCUAGUUGGUGGGGUAAAGGCCUACCAAGGCGACGAUCAGUAGCUGGUCUGGGAGGACGACCAGCCACAAUGGGAAUGAGAAACGGCCCAGACUCCUAAGGGAGGCAGCAGUGGGGAAUUUUGGACAAUGGGCGAAAGCCUGAUCCAGCAAUGCCGCGUGUGUGAAGAAGGCCUUCGGGUUGUAAAGCACUUUUGUCCGGAAAGAAAUCCUUGGCCCUAAUACGGUCGGGGGAUGACGGUACCGGAAGAAUAAGCACCGGCUAACUACGUG